Long non-coding RNA from Mytilus californianus (California mussel), 232 nucleotides. RefSeq lists it as uncharacterized. The transcript has 4 exons. The record is from RefSeq and is a predicted model, not a curated record. Lineage: Eukaryota; Metazoa; Mollusca; Bivalvia; Mytilida; Mytilidae.
AUACAGGUUGCUAUUAUGGCGUUUGCUUUUUUACUCAUAGUAUUAAUCUAUGUGAACGUUCCUAUGUCAACAGAAAAUGACAAUAGACCGGGAUUUUCUACAGUGCCUUACAUGUCUAAACCGUCAGUGAAUUGUCUUAACCUAGAAGAAGCAGAGAAAUUUACUAUGAAAUCAGAUCCACUGAAAGAAAGAUGUGAGCCAGGAUCUGAAUUUGUGAGGAAUUAUUGCCGAG